UGCAUUGCUCACCUGUGGCCCCAUGCAUCCCUGGCAAUCCCCAGGCCUGGAGGAGAAGCAGGAGGGCACUGGGACCAGCUUCCCAGCAACCCUGAGCUUGAAGGAUGUGCUGCCAACAGGGUGGUGUGGAGUGGAGGGCACAGCUGCUUGCCUCCCUGUCGCAGGAGAACCAGCCCCCAUGUUCCCCACAUGCCGGCUCCCCCAGACUCAGGGCAGAAGCAGCAGCAGUGACUACUGUGCUUUGGGCUGCUAUGGGAGGCACCACCCUUUGGCCCUCCCAGGAAACACGCAGAGCCUGGGCCCAUCCCAUCCCUGGGCUGAGGCCUUUCCUGCAACCAGCAGGGCCCAGAGACCCAGCAAAGAGGCACUGGGUGCUAGCUGGUCACAGUCAGAGGCCCAGGCUGCACAAGGAUCUCCAUGGCAUGUUGUUCCCUCUUGUCCUCAGCAGGGCUCAGUCCUGAACAUU
Molecule: long non-coding RNA, 466 nt
Filed under: Homo sapiens (human)
Lineage: Eukaryota; Metazoa; Chordata; Mammalia; Primates; Hominidae
Description: non-protein coding lnc-ANHX-1:1
Source: RNAcentral